Molecule: ribosomal RNA, 685 nt
Filed under: uncultured bacterium
Lineage: Bacteria
Description: bacterial SSU rRNA
Rfam family: Bacterial small subunit ribosomal RNA
Source: RNAcentral
CGAACGGGUGAGUAACACGUGGGCAACCUGCCCAAAAGAGGGGGAUAACACUUGGAAACAGGUGCUAAUACCGCAUAACCAUAGUUACCGCAUGGUAGCUAUGUAAAAGGUGGCUAUGCUACCGCUUUUGGAUGGGCCCGCGGCGCAUUAGCUAGUUGGUGGGGUAAAGGCUUACCAAGGCAAUGAUGCGUAGCCGAACUGAGAGGUUGAUCGGCCACAUUGGGACUGAGACACGGCCCAAACUCCUACGGGAGGCAGCAGUAGGGAAUCUUCCACAAUGGGCGAAAGCCUGAUGGAGCAACGCCGCGUGGGUGAAGAAGGUCUUCGGAUCGUAAAACCCUGUUGUUAGAGAAGAAAGUGCGUGAGAGUAACUGUUCACGUUUCGACGGUAUCUAACCAGAAAGCCACGGCUAACUACGUGCCAGCAGCCGCGGUAAUACGUAGGUGGCAAGCGUUAUCCGGAUUUAUUGGGCGUAAAGGGAACGCAGGCGGUCUUUUAAGUCUGAUGUGAAAGCCUUCGGCUUAACCGGAGUAGUGCAUUGGAAACUGGGAGACUUGAGUGCAGAAGAGGAGAGUGGAACUCCAUGUGUAGCGGUGAAAUGCGUAGAUAUAUGGAAGAACACCAGUGGCGAAAGCGGCUCUCUGGUCUGUAACUGACGCUGAGGUUCGAAAGCGUGGGUAGCAA